RNAcentral lists this ribosomal RNA (233 nucleotides) under uncultured bacterium. RNAcentral's name for it is "partial 16S ribosomal RNA". It matches the Rfam family "Bacterial small subunit ribosomal RNA", at positions 118 to 347 of the family's 1533-position model. The record is from RNAcentral.
UGAGGAACAUGACCUUCGGCGGGGGAUAGCCGGCCCAACGGCCGGGUAAUACCGCGUACGACCACAUGGGGACAUCCCUGAGUGGUGAAAGCAGCAAUGCGCCGAUGGAGUGCCUCGCGGCCUAUCAGCUAGUUGGUGAGGUAACGGCUCACCAAGGCGACGACGGGUAGCUGGUCUGAGAGGAUGGCCAGCCACAUUGGGACUGAGACACGGCCCAGACCUGUACCGGGGAG